This 84-nucleotide transfer RNA is filed under the name Tenericutes bacterium GWA2_35_7. RNAcentral describes it as "tRNA-Leu". It matches the Rfam family "tRNA". Rfam says of the family: Transfer RNA (tRNA) molecules are approximately 80 nucleotides in length. Their secondary structure includes four short double-helical elements and three loops (D, anti-codon, and T loops). Further hydrogen bonds mediate the characteristic L-shaped molecular structure. tRNAs have two regions of fundamental functional importance: the anti-codon, which is responsible for specific mRNA codon recognition, and the 3' end, to which the tRNAs corresponding amino acid is attached (by aminoacyl-tRNA synthetases). tRNAs cope with the degeneracy of the genetic code in two manners: having more than one tRNA (with a specific anti-codon) for a particular amino acid; and 'wobble' base-pairing, i.e. permitting non-standard base-pairing at the 3rd anti-codon position. Lineage: Bacteria; Bacillati; Mycoplasmatota. The record is from RNAcentral. RNAcentral also lists the same sequence under 11 other names.
GCGGGUGUGGCGAAAUUGGCAGACGCACUAGACUUAGGAUCUAGCGCCAUUGGCGUGCAGGUUCAAAUCCUGUCACCCGCACCA